GCCGAAAUAGCUCCGUUGGGAGAGCGUCAGACUGAAGAUCUGAAGGUCCCUGGUUCAAUCCUGGGUUUCGGCC
This is a transfer RNA of Gasterosteus aculeatus (three-spined stickleback), 73 nucleotides long. It matches the Rfam family "tRNA". Rfam says of the family: Transfer RNA (tRNA) molecules are approximately 80 nucleotides in length. Their secondary structure includes four short double-helical elements and three loops (D, anti-codon, and T loops). The record is from Rfam. Lineage: Eukaryota; Metazoa; Chordata; Actinopteri; Perciformes; Gasterosteidae.